This 510-nucleotide ribosomal RNA is filed under the name uncultured Acaulospora. RNAcentral's name for it is "SSU rRNA". It matches the Rfam family "Eukaryotic small subunit ribosomal RNA", at positions 569 to 1078 of the family's 1831-position model. The record is from RNAcentral. Lineage: Eukaryota; Fungi; Glomeromycota; Glomeromycetes; Diversisporales; Acaulosporaceae.
AGCAGCCGCGGUAAUUCCAGCUCCAAUAGCGUAUAUUAAAGUUGUUGCAGUUAAAAAGCUCGUAGUUGAAUUUCGGGAUUUGUCAGUUGGUCGGGCUUCACUGUCCGUACUGACUUGAUGGAUUCUUACCUUCUGAACAACCAGCAUGCUAUUAAGUUAGUGCGUUGGGGAAGCAGAUCUAUUACCUUGAAAAAAUUAGAGUGCUUAGAGCGGGCUAGUGCUUGAAUAGAUUAGCAUGGAAUAAUAAAAUAGGACGGCAUGGUUCUAUUUUGUUGGUUUCUAGGAUCACCGUAAUGAUUAAUAGGGAUAGUUGGGGGCAUUAGUAUUCAAUUGUCAGAGGUGAAAUUCUUGGAUUUAUUGAGGACUAACUUCUGCGAAAGCAUUUGCCAAGGAUGUUUUCAUUAAUCAAGAACGAAAGUUAGGGGAUCGAAGACGAUCAGAUACCGUCGUAGUCUUAACCAUAAACUAUGCCGACUAGGAAUCGGACGAAGUUAAUUUUAUAAUGACUCG